RNAcentral lists this unclassified non-coding RNA (345 nucleotides) under soil metagenome. RNAcentral's name for it is "partial contains 5.8S ribosomal RNA, internal transcribed spacer 2, and large subunit ribosomal RNA". The stretch from base 1 to 120 matches the Rfam family "5.8S ribosomal RNA", at positions 35 to 154 of the family's 154-position model. The record is from RNAcentral.
GAUGAAGAACGUAGCGAAAUGCGAUACGUAAUGUGAAUUGCAGAAUUCAGUGAAUCAUCGAGUCUUUGAACGCACAUUGCGCCCCCUGGUAUUCCGGGGGGCAUGCCUGUCCGAGCGUCAUUGCUGCCCUCAAGCACGGCUUGUGUGUUGGGCCUCCGUCCUCCUCCCGGGGGACGGGCCCGAAAGGCAGCGGCGGCACCGCGUCCGGUCCUCGAGCGUAUGGGGCUUCGUCACCCGCUCUUGUAGGCCCGGCCGGCGCUUGCCGACACAUCAAUCUUUUUUCCAGGUUGACCUCGGAUCAGGUAGGGAUACCCGCUGAACUUAAGUAUAUCAAUAAGCGGAGGA